UAGGGAAUCUUCGGCAAUGGGGGCAACCCUGACCGAGCAACGCCGCGUGAGUGAAGAAGGUUUUCGGAUCGUAAAGCUCUGUUGUAAGUCAAGAACGGGUGUGAGAGUAGAAAGUUCACACUGUGACGGUAGCUUACCAGAAAGGGACGGCUAACUACGUGCCAGCAGCCGCGGUAAUACGUAGGUCCCGAGCGUUGUCCGGAUUUAUUGGGCGUAAAGCGAGCGCAGGCGGUUUGAUAAGUCUGAAGUUAAAGGCUGUGGCUCAACCAUAGUUCGCUUUGGAAACUGUCAAACUUGAGUGCAGAAGGGGAGAGUGGAAUUCCAUGUGUAGCGGUGAAAUGCGUAGAUAUAUGGAGGAACACCGGUGGCGAAAGCGGCUCUCUGGUCUGUAGCUGACGCUGAGGCUCGAAAGCGUGGGGAGCGAACAGGAUUAGAUACCCUGGUAGUCCACGCCGUAAACGAUGAGUGCUAGGUGUUGGAUCCUUUCCGGGAUUCAGUGCCGCAGCUAACGCAUUAAGCACUCCGCCUGGGGAGUACGACCGUAAGGUUGAAACUCUAAAGUGAAUUGACG
Molecule: ribosomal RNA, 571 nt
Filed under: uncultured bacterium
Lineage: Bacteria
Description: partial 16S ribosomal RNA
Rfam family: Bacterial small subunit ribosomal RNA
Source: RNAcentral